Non-coding RNA from Pelodiscus sinensis (Chinese soft-shelled turtle), 1297 nucleotides. NCBI's taxonomy places the organism in Eukaryota, Metazoa, Chordata, Testudines, Trionychidae. The record is from RefSeq and is a predicted model, not a curated record.
AAAGAGCUCGUAGCUCUGGCCCCUGCUGGGGUAGCAGCGCAACCAUGAGCCAUUGAAAUAGGAUCCUGCUGCCGUAGCCGCUGCCUAGAAAUUUGGUGACCAGGCCAAGAUAUAAAUAGAAAGCGGCCAGAUGCAGCCCACAGGCUGGAUCAAAGUGUUAGGCAGGCCAGAUCCGGCCCCCAGGCCACAUUUUGCCCAGCCCUGUGCUAGUGUCUGAAAGUAUUAUAUUCUCCCAAAAAAGAUGCAAUUGUAGGCUUCCAAAUCAUCUAUUUUAAAUUAAGAUCUAAUGGGAAAUUUCUUCUAGAUUCUAAAGGUGAAAUCCUGGUCCCAUUAAAUCAGUAAUAUAACUGCCAUUGACUUCCAAUCUUUCCCCUUUUCAGCCUUCUCCCCGAUUUUAUCACUGAGAGAUUAAAAGUAAAAUGAGCAUAUCAAUCUGCACAACUCUUAUAGUUUGAGCACUUGACAUUAAUUAAUUCUCAUACCUUCCAAUAGGGAAAUAUUAUUCAUAUUUUACAAAUGGAAAACUAGCAAUGAGUUUAAAUUGCAGCAAGGGAGAUUUAGGUUGGACAUUAGCAAAAACGUCCUAACUGUCAAAGUGGCUAACCACUGGAAUAAAUUGCCUAGGGAGGUAGUGGUGAUAUGCAAGAGCACGUUGGAUAGGCAUCUAUGAGGGAUAAUCUAGAUUCUGGAAGAUGGUGUUGGGUUCUGCGUUGAGGGCAGGGGAGUGGACUUGACCUCUUGAGGUCCCUUCCAGUUCUAGUGUUCUAUGGUUCUGAGACACAAGGACUAAAUGGCUUGCCCAAUAUUCAGGAAGGAACUGAACCCUCUCUCCUGAUCAUGGCCUUAACUGGAAGACAUCCAUAUGUGCGCAUCCUAGUGGAUGGAACUGGCUCUGCUAAACUGUGUGUCCUACAUCCUUGUACUGAUCAUGAUAGAGGAAGUAGUACAGACAUGUUUGCACUAGACAGAUUUUAAUUCCCUGACACUGUUUUUCCUGUUAAAUCACAGUCUCGUGAUUCAAUUUUCUUCUACAAAGGCAGAGAGCAAAUUAACAAAGAAAAUACAAGGGUCAUGACUUACCGGUGGAGAAAUCCUAACUUAAGAGAAAAAGGAAGUAAACAGCUCCUGUUUCCACUGGAUGGCAAAACUCCAUUUGAUUUCAGGAGGAGGAUCGGGCUCCAUAACAGAAGCAAAUAAACAUCAAUGUUUGACAAAUGAAGGAAGACUAAAACAACCUAAAAAAAUUGUUAUAAGCUUCUAAAAAGGUAUUAAAAUAUGGAGUUGUGUUCUGACCGCA